This 93-nucleotide ribosomal RNA is filed under the name Bifrenaria vitellina. RNAcentral describes it as "5.8S ribosomal RNA". It matches the Rfam family "5.8S ribosomal RNA", at positions 1 to 89 of the family's 154-position model. Rfam says of the family: 5.8S ribosomal RNA (5.8S rRNA) is a component of the large subunit of the eukaryotic ribosome. Lineage: Eukaryota; Viridiplantae; Streptophyta; Magnoliopsida; Asparagales; Orchidaceae. The record is from RNAcentral.
GACACGACUCUCGGCAAUGGAUAUCUCGGCUCUCGCAUCGAUGAAAGCGCAGCGAAAUGCGAUACGUGGUGCGAAUUGCAGAAUCCCGCGAAC